This is an RNA transcript of Glycine soja, 3818 nucleotides long. RefSeq lists it as uncharacterized. The record is from RefSeq and is a predicted model, not a curated record. The transcript has 3 exons. NCBI's taxonomy places the organism in Eukaryota, Viridiplantae, Streptophyta, Magnoliopsida, Fabales, Fabaceae.
AUCUCACUCCGUGAGCCCGAUUCGGAUCUGCGUUUUCACCGUCAGAUCCUGUUUUAUUAUUAUGUGAUGAAAUGAAAUACUUGAUCUGGACUGCGAUUUUGCUUCCUUUUUUUUUUUUUUAACAGUUUUUGCAGUGGUAGACCAUUGAAGAUAGAUUUUAUGUUAUAUGAGUUGUGGUUGAUAGAGAAUCUGGUGUGGCGAUGAUGAUGUUGUUAUUGAGAGUUUCUUUUCUUUUAUACGAUUGAGUUGGGCCCAUGCCUUCUUUGGGUUUGAUCGUAUGCAAGGCCUAAAGGGUCACUGUCUUAAUAUGUAGGAGUAGGAUGGUUGUGGUCACAACUCUUUGGGCCUGUAACUUUAAGAUGAGGAGGUCAUCUUUAAACUCUUAAACAAUCAAAUCACCAUGUUGUUGUCUGCAAACAUGACUUUGAAAUUUGGUUGUUUAUGGUCUUGUAUUCUUAAUUCAAUGUUAUACACACAAAUUUAUGUUAUUGGCCUUCAUUUCUCACUUUCAUGACCGUGCUAUGUAAAUGGUUCAAUUAAUUGAUUUAAGGCAUUUUUAUUCUUUUAUUGUUGUUGUUUUUUUACUUCCUCUGCUUGCUUUAUGAUUCAUGACCAAUGAUUUUGUCUCUCCAAGAUAUGUAUGUAUGUUAGUUUAAAUCCUGUAUAUUUUGCAUUGCAGUUUUGAUAUGUUAUAAGUUAGUGAUCUCAUGUUUUCUUCAUAUUUGUAGUAUUUCACCAUUAAUUAUUUGUAGGUGAAGCAGGAAGAUACACAUCAAAAUCAAGAUGGUUACUGUCGAAGAAGAUAAACUGGCUGCGACCCCUGAUGUGAAAAAUGCUCCAGUCACUACUGAUUUUCAACCCAGCGAAGAUAAGUCUGACCAUAAUGUGGAAAAUUCUGAGUCUCCUGAUAAGGAUCUCUCCAGUUCCAAAGCAGAAGUACUUCCUGCAUCUGAAACCCAGGCUUCUAGUGCCAAUGAAAAUGAAGGGACAUUGUCCAAUCUUGAAUUAGACAACACAGAAGAACUUCCUAAUAGUGAGUCAGAGAAUCCCAAGUUACUACCCAAUAACCAAUCAAGCAAUGAUGGGGGUCCCCUUAGCAAUCAGCAUGUUGAGUCUGAGGCACCACUCAAGAAUCCAUCAGCAAGCUUUGAAGCUACAGCUGAUGAUAAUGUUGUUAGUCCUGAACAUCAGACUAGUAAUGAUGUGGUUUUAUCUGCUUCUGAGGCAGAAGCCUGCGUCUGAGGCACCACCAAGCAACCAGUUGCUCAAUUUUGAGACACUUCCAAAUAAUGGUGUGCUACAUUCUGAACAUCAGACUAGUAAUGAUGUGGUUUUAUCUGAAACACAGCAAAGCAAUGAGGUGGUUUUACCUGAAACACAGCAAAGCAAUGAGGCAGUUUUAUAUGAAACAUAGCAAAGUGGUGAGCCGAUUACAUAUAAAACUCAGCCCAGCAAUGAUGUAGUCAUGUCAGAUGCACAACGCAACAACGAUCCAAUCAUGUUUGACACACAGCCCAGCAGUGAGAUAGUCAUGCCUGAGACACAGCCCAGCAAUGAAACUCUCGUACAUGAAGCACAGAACAUCAAUGAUGUGGUCAUGUCUGAAGCAUUGCCUGAAAAUGAGUUGGUAAAUUCUACAGCAGAUCCCAACAAUCAUCUCUCUCAUCCAGAAUCUUUUUCUCAUGAUCAUCAGUAUACUAAUUUACACAUGAUUCCUGAACUUGAAUCGCUGCCCAACUCUGAUCCAUUGCCUAGUUCUGAACCAAUGCAAGACAUUCAUCUCACAGACAUCAAACCGUUACCUCAUAAUCAUCUGGCCCAGUAUGAUACACUUCCCAACAAUCAUCAUAUGGACCAUUCUGAGGCGGUGUCCAACCAUCAACUAACUCACUUUGAGACACUAUCCAAUGAACAGCUAGCCAAUUCUCAUUUGUUGCCUGACUACGACGGGCUACAAAAUAGUGAAACACUACACGACCAUCCGAUAGUUAAUUCUCAACCACUCUAUGAGAUAGUCAAUGCUAGCAACAUACCCAACUAUGGGAUAGUAAAUGCUGAAACUCCAUUGAACAGUGAGGAAGCUACUCCAAAAACUUAGCCAAGCAAGAGGAGGAAAAAGAAGUCUAUAGUCUGGGAACACUUCUCCAUAGAAAUAGUCAGUCCUGGAUGUAGAAGAGCAUGCUGCAAGCAAUGCAAGCAAAGUUUUGCCUACAACACUGGUUCAAAAGUUGCUGGUACUAACCAAGGCUAACAAAGACAAAAUCUGAAAAGGGUCAGGUUCGGAUAAGACAUGCCUUGCAUUGGGGCAAGGUAUGUGCAUUGAAUCACGAGUUAUCGAAAGAACAGCUUGGCAAACUGGAAAGUACCCCAUUUAGUUUAAUGCUGACUAGGAUGGACAAUAAAAACAUCCGUGUCAGCAAUUUAUUGUUGUUCGAGCAUCUGGAAGCCAGAAAGUCAGUCGUUUCAAAUUCAAGACACGUUGAUCAUUUUCUGUUAAAGAAAUCACACUUAUACUUGGCUUGCCAAGUACAGGUGUUGAGAUAAAUCUUAAACAAAAAAGUGAUGAUUCUAUUGUCCAACAUUUAUGUGAUGGAAAAGUUUCGUAUGAAAAAAUUGUGUCAGUGAUGGAAAAACUAAAAAAUGAUGAUGAUGUUGACAACUUUUGUCGGCGCAUCCAAUAGGCCAGAGACAAUGAAAUUCCUCCGGGUGUUGCAAUGGUUGGAAAAGACCUACUUUACGGACAAGGACUUGAAGUCAAAAUUUAAUGAAUCUCAGCUUGUGGAAACAUUGUCCCCCUUUGACCAUGAGUUGAAAAUGAGUGUUGUUUGUGAGGCAUUUGCUUCAAUGUCUGAUUCUGAUGGAGAGUUUAAUGAUAGUGUAUCAACUAUCCAAAGCAACAUUGGGGCAUUAGAAUUGGUAGCUUUUAAGGAUUUUCAAGAAUUUUUUAUUAUCCUUUUUUCAUAUUUAACUUUGCUGUCCUUGGUUGAUUUGCUCAAGUAUUAUAUUUGGAAGAGCAGCAGCACCUGUAGGAGGUAAUGCAGCAGCUGGUUGUUGGGGAAGGCUUAAAAGAGGAUUAUAAAAAAUUCUUGAAAAAAGGAUUAUAAAAAAUUCUUGAAAAUCAUCAAAAGCUACCAAUUCAUUCUAAUGCCCCAAUGUUGCUUUGGAUAGUUGAUACACUAUCAUUAAACAUGAAUAUUGAUUAUUAUAAGCAGGACAUUGAUGAACUUAUCGGUGAAUUCAUUGAGGUAUUAAUAAGUAAUAACAUCUAGACCAGUGAUUUUCCUUACUGUUUUUUUUAAAAAAAAUUCAAGGAGCUUGCUUCCCAUUGUUUGGAUGUUUUUGGAUGAUACUGCUUGGCUAUUGCGAUUUGCCAACCCAUGAUACAUUAAUUUUGUCAAUUAUCUAAUUCUGUCUGUCUUCUUUUUCUUUUUUUUCUUUAAGAGGCGAGCAAUAUUUUAGACCAUUGAAAACAUAAAGAACAUACAAAAAGAUAAGGAACUGAUAGGAGAUGUUGUGGAGAAGGUUGCUAAUGACUGGCAUGUCCAGAAACAAACAGGAUUGGGGGACGAUGGAUAUGAGAAGGAGUUCGAGCAAUUACUUCUAGAGCAGCAACCACAUGAUAGAGAUUCUAACCAAGUUUGAAGACGGACAUCAGGGUCAUUGUGAUUAUUUAUGCAUAGGGAAUUCAUAAUUAAUAUCCCUGUUUAGAUAGGAGGAGGGAGUUUAAAGGUAGUGUGUUUUUCUUUUUCUAGUUAUUGCUGUUUUAAACAAGACAAUGAAACAAAAAGUGAUAAAAUGAAUUGUUUCAUUUCAUUCAA